GACAGCAGUCGCCACGGGAAAACGUAGGGUGCAAGCGUUAAUCGGAAUUACUGGGCGUAAAGCGCACGCAGGCGGUUUGUUAAGUCAGAUGUGAAAUCCCCGAGCUUAACUUGGGAACUGCAUUUGAAACUGGCAAGCUAGAGUCUUGUAGAGGGGGGUAGAAUUCCAGGUGUAGCGGUGAAAUGCGUAGAGAUCUGGAGGAAUACCGGUGGCGAAGGCGGCCCCCUGGACAAAGACUGACGCUCAGGUGCGAAAGCGUGGGGAGCAAACAGGAUUAGAUACCCGCGUAGUCCCUGUCUCUUAUAC
Molecule: ribosomal RNA, 306 nt
Filed under: uncultured bacterium
Lineage: Bacteria
Description: partial 16S ribosomal RNA
Rfam family: Bacterial small subunit ribosomal RNA
Source: RNAcentral